AACGAACGCUGGCGGCAUGCCUAACACAUGCAAGUCGAACGGGAUCCACCUUUCGGGGUGGUGAGAGUGGCGGACGGGUGAGUAACACGUGGGAACCUGCCUUUUGGUUCGGGAUAACCGCGGGAAACUGCGGCUAAUACCGGAUGUACCCGCGAGGGGAAAGAUUUAUCGCCAGAAGAGGGGCCCGCGUCCGAUUAGGUAGUUGGUAGGGUAAAGGCCUACCAAGCCGACGAUCGGUAGCUGGUCUGAGAGGAUGAUCAGCCACACUGGGACUGAGAUACGGCCCAGACUCCUACGGGAGGCAGCAGUGGGGAAUAUUGGACAAUGGGGCAACCCUGAUCCAGCAAUGCCGCGUGAGUGAUGAAGGCCUUAGGGUUGUAAAGCUCUUUUGCCAGGGAAGAUGAUGACGGUACCUGGAGAAUAAGCCCCGGCUAACUUCGUGCCAGCAGCCGCGGUAAUACGAAGGGGCUAGCGUUGUUCGGAAUUACUGGGCGUAAAGGGCGCGUAGGCGGCCAUUUAAGUUAGGUGUGAAAGUCCUGGGCUCAACCUGGGACUGCACUUAAUACUGGGUGGCUUGAAUUCGGGAGAGGAUAGCGGAAUUCCCCAGUGUAGAGGUGAAAUUCGUAGAUA
RNAcentral lists this ribosomal RNA (630 nucleotides) under uncultured bacterium. Its description in RNAcentral is "bacterial SSU rRNA". It matches the Rfam family "Bacterial small subunit ribosomal RNA", at positions 28 to 696 of the family's 1533-position model. The record is from RNAcentral.